AACGCGAAGAACCUUACCAACCCUUGACACCGGGCGGGAACCAGAGAUGGACCUAGUGGCUGGACCGGAGACAGGUGCUGCAUGGCUGGAGCGUGGUGAGAUGUUGGGUUAAGCCGCAACGAGCGCAACCCGCCUUUAGUUGCCAAUAGUUGGGCACUAAAGAGACUGCCGGGGAACGGAGGAAGGCGGGGACGACGAAGAAUGGCCCUUACGGCCAGGGCUACACACGUGCUACAAUGGGGUACAAAGGGUUGCUACCUAGCGAUAGGAUGCUAAAAAAAGCCGAGUAGCGGAUUGGAGUGCAACGACCAUGAAGGGAAGCUAGUAAGCGGAAGAAUGCCGCGGUGAAUACGUCCGGGUUGACACACCGAA
Molecule: ribosomal RNA, 372 nt
Filed under: uncultured Pseudomonadota bacterium
Lineage: Bacteria; Pseudomonadati; Pseudomonadota
Description: bacterial SSU rRNA
Rfam family: Bacterial small subunit ribosomal RNA
Source: RNAcentral